Long non-coding RNA from Homo sapiens (human), 564 nucleotides. Ensembl annotates it as long intergenic non-protein coding RNA 968. Lineage: Eukaryota; Metazoa; Chordata; Mammalia; Primates; Hominidae. The record is from Ensembl.
AGUGUGAGAUGGAAGAUGAUGUCGCAAGGGUGGAGCCCAGUUGACAGGAAAUGUUUCUCCAGAAGCUGAAAAGCUGCCUGGUAAAGGCCUUUCAUAAAAUGGUCUGCGUUUGGGACCAGGAAGACAGAAGACUCCUCAAGAAGAGAACUGGAACCUUAACCCACUUCAGACUUCUUCAUGUCUGAAGCUUAUUUCCACCAUCCCAUUGAGAACCAAAGAAGCGAGCUCCUUGGAGAAUCGGCUCCCACCUGGACCUUCUGUUUAUCCUUCCAAUAGCUGCUGCAUUCAUCCUUCCCAGCUAAUGACACUUCCAGCCUUUCGUGUUUCAAAGUAUCACGGACUUUGCAAAAGAUUCCAGGUUUCUAUGGAGCAGAUAGUACUUUUAACAAUCAACAUGUGCAUUAUUAUUUCCUCCUAAGGCAUACUUAGACAUCAAUGCAUGCUACAGCAAGGCAACUUAUCUCACCCUCACCAAGGUGGCUUCUUCUUGGAUAUCUGAAUGGUGGUGAGAUCAACCUCUGGGCCAGCCAAGUAUGGAACUCAAUCCAAAACAACGGACUUCUU